GACGAACGCUGGCGGCGUGCUUAACGCAUGCAAGUCGAACGGAAAGGCCCCUUUGGGGGUACUCGAGUGGCGCACGGGUGAGUAACACGUGAGUAACCUGCCCUUGACUUCGGGAUAACUUCAGGAAACUGGGGCUAAUACCGGAUAGGAAUCCUUGCUGCAUGGUGGGGGUUGGAAAGCUUCGGCGGUUUUGGAUGGACUCGCGGCUUAUCAGCUUGUUGGUGGGGUAGUGGCUUACCAAGGCUUUGACGGGUAGCCGGCCUGAGAGGGCGACCGGCCACAUUGGGACUGAGAUACGGCCCAGACUCCUACGGGAGGCAGCAGUGGGGAAUAUUGCACAAUGGGCGGAAGCCUGAUGCAGCAACGCCGCGUGCGGGAUGACGGCCUUCGGGUUGUAAACCGCUUUCAGCAGGGGCGAAGCUUGUGGUGACGGUACCUGCAGAAGAAGCACCGGCUAACUACGUG
Molecule: ribosomal RNA, 465 nt
Filed under: uncultured bacterium
Lineage: Bacteria
Description: partial 16S ribosomal RNA
Rfam family: Bacterial small subunit ribosomal RNA
Source: RNAcentral